GCGAGAGUGGCGGAAUUGGCAGACGCGCUAGACUUAGGAUCUAGUACCUAACCGGUGUCGGGGUUCGAGUCCCCGCUUUCGCA
Molecule: transfer RNA, 83 nt
Filed under: Ignavibacteriaceae bacterium
Lineage: Bacteria; Pseudomonadati; Ignavibacteriota; Ignavibacteria; Ignavibacteriales; Ignavibacteriaceae
Also listed under: 1 other name
Description: tRNA-Leu
Rfam family: tRNA
About the family: Transfer RNA (tRNA) molecules are approximately 80 nucleotides in length.
Source: RNAcentral